RNAcentral lists this transfer RNA (85 nucleotides) under Felis catus (domestic cat). It matches the Rfam family "tRNA". Rfam says of the family: Transfer RNA (tRNA) molecules are approximately 80 nucleotides in length. Their secondary structure includes four short double-helical elements and three loops (D, anti-codon, and T loops). The record is from Rfam by way of RNAcentral. Lineage: Eukaryota; Metazoa; Chordata; Mammalia; Carnivora; Felidae.
ACCUGGGUGGCUCAGUCGGUUGAGCGUCUGACUUUGGCUCAGGUCAUGAUCUCACAGUCUGUGGGUUCGAGCCCCGCGUCAGGCU